This 541-nucleotide ribosomal RNA is filed under the name uncultured bacterium. RNAcentral describes it as "bacterial SSU rRNA". It matches the Rfam family "Bacterial small subunit ribosomal RNA", at positions 173 to 715 of the family's 1533-position model. The record is from RNAcentral.
AUCAUGAGUUCACAUGUCCGCAUGAUUAAAGGUAUUUUCCGGUAGACGAUGGGGAUGCGUUCCAUUAGAUAGUAGGCGGGGUAACGGCCCACCUAGUCAACGAUGGAUAGGGGUUCUGAGAGGAAGGUCCCCCACAUUGGAACUGAGACACGGUCCAAACUCCUACGGGAGGCAGCAGUGAGGAAUAUUGGUCAAUGGGCGAUGGCCUGAACCAGCCAAGUAGCGUGAAGGAUGACUGCCCUAUGGGUUGUAAGCUUCUUUUAUAAAGGAAUAAAGUCGGGUAUGCAUACCCGUUUGCAUGUACUUUAUGAAUAAGGAUCGGCCAACUCCGUGCCAGCAGCCGCGGUAAUACGGAGGAUCCGAGCGUUAUCCGGAUUUAUUGGGUUUAAAGGGAGCGUAGAUGGAUGUUUAAGUCAGUUGUGAAAGUUUGCGGCUCAACCGUAAAAUUGCAGUUGAUACUGGAUGUCUUGAGUGCAGUUGAGGCAGGCGGAAUUCGUGGUGUAGCGGUGAAAUGCUUAGAUAUCACGAAGAACUCCGAUUG